RNAcentral lists this ribosomal RNA (229 nucleotides) under uncultured bacterium. Its description in RNAcentral is "partial 16S ribosomal RNA". It matches the Rfam family "Bacterial small subunit ribosomal RNA", at positions 568 to 796 of the family's 1533-position model. The record is from RNAcentral.
UUCGUAGGGGGUCUGCCAAGUCUGAUGUGAAAUCCCGUGGCUCAACCGCGGACGUGCAUUGGAUACUGUCGGACUAGAGUUCUUGAUGGGAAAGCGGAAUUCCAGGUGUAGCGGUGGAAUGCGUAGAUAUCUGGAAGAACACCGGUGGCGAAGGCGGCUUUCUGGCAAGAUACUGACCCUGAUGGACGAAAGCGUGGGUAGCGAACAGGAUUAGAUACCCUGGUAGUCC